CAUCAAAAACCAAGUCUCUAAGCAAUGGAUGUCUUGGCUCCUCACACGAUGAAGAACGUGGCAUAAUGUGUUAAGUAACCGGAGUUGCAAACAUCAUGACAGGUUAAUCUUUGAAUGCAAAUUGCGCUAAACUCGAUCUCGGUCGAGAAGCAUGGGUGUGACAGUACUACAUCUUUUAUAAUAAUUCUUAUUCUAAGCGAAUAAGUAAAUAAUAUAUAAGACAAACAACACGUAGUCUGCCAUACGCAGGAAGACCCGCUGAACUGAAGCAUCUCAUUAAGCGGAGGAAAAGAAACUAACUAGGAUUCCCUUAGUAAAGGCGAUCGAAAAGGGAACAGCCCAACGUCAUAAUCCCGCAAGGGAAAUGUAGUCGGUUCACCUAUU
Non-coding RNA from Trichomonas vaginalis G3, 384 nucleotides. NCBI's taxonomy places the organism in Eukaryota, Parabasalia, Trichomonadida, Trichomonadidae. The record is from Rfam.